AACGAACGCUGGCGGCAUGCCUAACACAUGCAAGUCGAACGAGCCCUUCGGGUCUAGUGGCGCACGGGUGCGUAACGCGUGGGAACCUGCCCUUAGGUUCGGAAUAACUCCCCGAAAGGGGUGCUAAUACCGGAUAAUGUCUUCGGACCAAAGAUUUAUCGCCUUUGGAUGGGCCCGCGUUGGAUUAGCUAGUUGGUAGGGUAAAAGCCUACCAAGGCGACGAUCCAUAGCUGGUCUGAGAGGAUGAUCAGCCACACUGGGACUGAGACACGGCCCAGACUCCUACGGGAGGCAGCAGUGGGGAAUAUUGGACAAUGGGCGAAAGCCUGAUCCAGCAAUGCCGCGUGAGUGAUGAAGGCCUUAGGGUUGUAAAGCUCUUUUACCCGGGAUGAUAAUGACAGUACCGGGAGAAUAAGCGCCGGCUAACUCCGUG
RNAcentral lists this ribosomal RNA (433 nucleotides) under uncultured bacterium. Its description in RNAcentral is "partial 16S ribosomal RNA". It matches the Rfam family "Bacterial small subunit ribosomal RNA", at positions 29 to 507 of the family's 1533-position model. The record is from RNAcentral.